AGCCAAAGAGGUCAAACCAGUCCCUACUAAGCCUGUCACUCAAGAGCCAACAGCUCCCAAGGAGGAUGAAGCACCUCAAAAAGAAAAAUAUGUGAAACCUAGGCCGCUGUCUCCUUAUGCGGCGUAAGACAACUUGUUCCUCAACGGGAAAUAAUCAAAUAUGUAACCAAAAUGACUUGUUUACAUGACAUUAAUUGUUUCUUCCUUUUUGUUUUUGUAAAUAUAAUAUAGCUACGAAGACUUGAAACCUCCAACAUCUCCUAUUCCAAGUUCGACCGCAUCACUCAGUCCUGCCAAAUCUAAGGAGGUAGAUGCCACUGAGGUUCCUGUUGAGGCCAAUAUAGUGCCGGAUAGUAUCUCAAACGUCCCAGUAGAAGAAGAAGAAUUAAAGCAAGCUGGAGAAGAAGAAGUGAAGAAACCUGAGGAAAAGAAAGGGAGGCCUCUUUCCCCUUAUGCCAGGUAAACCUUAUUAUCUUUGCGACUUUAUUGUAUUCAGGAGCCGCUAGAUUGAAAUUGAUUAUGCUCGCCUACAGUUUAUAUUGCUAUAACUACAGUUGGAGUAAUAAAUGUGUGAGCAGAUACUAAUUUCAAAAGUUUGAUGGCCGUUUUGUGAUGCAGCUAUGAAAAUCUGAAACCACCUUCAUCACCCUUUCCUAAAGCUUCGGGAACCAGAAAGACUGAUUCUUUGUCGCCUGGUCCAACCGAUUCUGAUACUGAUAAAAGCUC
Molecule: long non-coding RNA, 726 nt
Filed under: Capsella grandiflora
Lineage: Eukaryota; Viridiplantae; Streptophyta; Magnoliopsida; Brassicales; Brassicaceae
Description: long non-coding RNA (CGRA_LNC000468)
Source: RNAcentral